Long non-coding RNA from Cyprinus carpio (common carp), 1548 nucleotides. RefSeq lists it as uncharacterized. The transcript has 3 exons. NCBI's taxonomy places the organism in Eukaryota, Metazoa, Chordata, Actinopteri, Cypriniformes, Cyprinidae. The record is from RefSeq and is a predicted model, not a curated record.
GAUCAGAGUUGAGCGGGUUUAAAUAAUCGCUCACACGUGUGACAGCGGCGCUCGCGGUCCUCACGUCCUGUGCGUCCUCCGCGCGCAUGACGUCACCGACGUCUCGAGCUGUUUGUUCUGGAUUGUGGGAGAGAAAGAGCCCGCGCGCCCUCACAACAAAAUAAAGAAGUAGCGUGAUCGGCGUAAUCUGUGUCUGAGCCGGUGACUUCUCUCUGGACGGCGUGAAAGCAGCUCUUCUGCUGAGUGCUCUUGGAGAAGAUGUGUGCGCUCAGAUAAGAGACUCUUCACACAAGAGACAAAAAAGUCUUUAAAAAUCCUGCAGAAACCCUGUCCAGAGAACAUGUCUACUGCUGUGAGUGUGUUCACGUCGAGUGUUUGCAGUGCUGCGGCUGUAUGACAGGAGACAGAGGGGGGUCAAGGUGUCUGUUGGCGCUCUUGUGUGCCAGCGUAUGGCUACUGUGUCAUCGCAGGGCACAUCGCCCCAAACGACAGAUGGGAGGGGUUCUGUCCCGUGUGCCACGGGAGGCUUACGUUUGGAGCAGAUGGAGAGAGGAGAGCUCUUUUUGUGUGUGUGUGUGGGUCCUCUUCAUUUCACUCAAUGGGUUACAUGAAAGCCUUUCAUUGUUCUGUUUUUUGUCUGUCCUGUACUUCCCUCUUUUCUUCAUGGGCUCACUCUCACCUGCUCUAGCCUUUGUACUCCUCCCUGAUGCAGGCAAACACACACACACACACACACACACACGCACAGAGCAGAUUACUUGUCCCUGUUCUCUCCAGCCAGGUCCCUGUUGGCUCGGGCUUCUCAAACGUUCAGAUGAUUAAUGGGCUCAGAAUCUGAAGGCGCUCACCGCCGCCGCCUCAUCCAUUCCUCCCAUCCCCCUGCUUCUCCUCUUUCUCCCCCAAACCCAUCUAUGUUUGAUUGCAGGAUCUCUCACACACACACAGAGCCACCAAAUGCUGGUGAGGGUCGUCCCAGCCUCUCAGAGUUGUGCUUUGUCACUCGGGCAGCUGCUGUAUUGUCUCGGGCGGUGUUGGGGAAGGCAUGUGCUCUCCGGGUGGAGGGAUUGCCGCGGUUUGGCCAGGCUGUGGCGCGCUGCUUCAGAGUGCUUCCUGACAGAAUGUGAAAUUGGAGGAUGUCUCUUCCUCCCCCCAGCCAUAUAUACACAGCCCGAAGACACAGAAAACACAGAUCUCAUGCACACACACUUAAAGGAGUGGUGGAGUCCAGUGAUGGGGCAGUAAAAGUGAGUGCAGAUGGUCAGGCCUGGAUAGAGGUUUACCUGGAAUGUGAGCGGUUGAGGUCAAAGGUCAGAGUUCCUGUCCCCUCUGGCAGACAGGAAGCACUGUUUGUACAAGUCUUGGUUUACUUAUAAGGGCCAAAUGUACCUCAUGUGAAAUAUCUUGAAAACUGACUUGUUUAUAUUUUUCAUAAAAACGUGCACAACUGUUUUCAGCAUUGAUACUGAAUGUUUCACGAGCAGCAAAUCAGCAUGUUUGAAAUGAUUUCUAAAGGAUCACGUGACACUGAAUAUUGGAGUACUUAUGCUG